Vicia villosa (hairy vetch) is the source of this 300-nucleotide long non-coding RNA. RefSeq lists it as uncharacterized. The record is from RefSeq and is a predicted model, not a curated record. NCBI's taxonomy places the organism in Eukaryota, Viridiplantae, Streptophyta, Magnoliopsida, Fabales, Fabaceae. The transcript is spliced from 2 exons.
UUAAUAUACAUUGAAUAUAUCUCAAUUCAUUUGUAAGAGUAAAAUAUAAAAACAUAUGGCUAAAAUUCUCAAACUUCUUUAUACUAUAGUUUUGUUUUUGUCCCUACACUUUCUUUUAGCGAUGGCUAUAUUUCCAUGUGAAACUGAUGAAGAUUGUGCAUACGUGUUAGUUAUCGUGAAUAAGAUACAUGGACAAGUCAAGUGCGUUAUAAACGUAUGUUGUUUGGCAUUGCUAAUGUAAGGACGAAAUAUACAAAAAAAAAGAAAUUAUGAAUAAUAAAUAUAUCUUAUAUGGUAGAA